UAAUAGGAAAAUAUUAAUUAGAGAUGUUAUUGGAAACUAAAUAGAAAUGAGAGUACAAGUAUUAAGGGAUACUCAAAUGACACAAGCACACUUUGAAGUUAAGUGAAAGGAUAAAAUGGUAAUUAAACUAUGCCUAUAUAAGGUCAUCACACUCACUCUACCUCCUAUUUUCAUAAAGCAAUUUCAGAGCACCUCACCCCAACACUCUCUUCUCUCUCCGUGUCCUUCAUUACCACCCCCAACAUCAAAGCUCACCCCACUAAUAUCACUUCAAUGUUGCAUGCAAGUUAGGAAUUGAAUUCUUUGAGUCUCAAGAAGCAAGGUUAGAACCCAUAAUUUCCUUCUCUCCUUCCCUCUGCCACGCAAUAAUCUCCCUCUCCACCUUAACCCAAAUCAUUCUUAGCCUCCAAACCCUUAUUCACUAAACUGCUCAUUCAUUUCCAAUCCUUCAACUUAUGGUGGUUGCAUGUGAAAUUAAAGCACUUAUGAACCUUUGGGUAUUUGAUAUAAACUGGGAUUUAAAGUGGAAGUGAACAGAAAUGGAAGAUUUAAGGAGUUGAAGAUGGAAGCUUGGUUUGGUGAAGUUUGGAAGAAUUUAUGUAAAAACCAGUAUUUCUGGACAUACACUCACUAAAAAGUCGUUUGGGAUACCAGCCUCGUGAGAUUUGGUGGAGAAAUAAGGUCUGUGCGAAUUUUUGAAAUGAAAGGUUCAAUACAGGAUUUUGCAGAAUUCGUGUUUGGACAGGGCUGCACUUAAAUGGUGAGUUCUCACUCUCUAUAAUUCUGUUUGAAAUCUCGUUUGUUUCUAUGGAUAGCUAACUCAAUUACGGUCGUCUUGGUUCCGGUUUGGUAUAUUUUGGAUGAGUAAUGAGCUCAGAGGACGCAUUUAAAGUUGGAGGUCUGAAGCUGCGUUAUGCAGAAAAUUCUGUUGCGAAUUUGCGUAUUCGAGUGGCACAAUCGGAUGGUUGUUAAGCGUGCGGGACAACUCGGUACUGCAAUUCAUAUCAGACAAGCAGGUUGAUCGAGAUAUCUUGGUUUGUUAGCACGAAGAUUCAGAUACGUGGAUUACGUUAUGGAGCUGACAUCAUGUUAAUCUUAUUAUUAUAUAAGAUUCAGUUUAUUUGAGUUUAGUAGUUAGCUCAAUCAUGUAUUCAUUUAGUGGAUUAUUGUAAUCCUAUUGAUGUAUUUGAUCUUUAUGUAGUGAAAAAUUAAUGUUUCCCGAUUCAGUUAUGUACACUCUUGUUGAUAUUCUAGAUAAAUUGACAUGAGAUGUUAUAAUUGGUAUCAGAGCAGGUCGAUUCAGUAUCGGACCUUGCCGCGGAUCAUUAAAAUUCAAUCCAAAGUAGUAUGGACCCUUUGGAGUCUGAACUGUUUACGCUGAAAUCAUUACGUGCUGAGCCCGAUCAACUCGGUAUCGUGUAUGGUAGGCAGGGUAUUACGGUUGAGAACCGAAGCGGACCAAGGAGGUCUCGUAGCAAGAACAUGGUAGAAGCGCUAACUCAUAAGGAAGUAAGAGAGAAGAUCUCUAGAAGCGGAUGUUGGAGUUGCAGCAGUCGACGCUACAGAAGUAAGUAACACCAAUAAGUGGUUCGUAGAAUUUGGAAUAGUAUGUAGCAUAAUACCAGUAGUAAGGGGCAUGUCAGGAGAUGCACGAACCGAAUGCGCUCAACUGACGGUAGCAUGUAUAAGAAUGUGGAGAAUUCUGGGACUGGAAAAUUAUAGUAGGUCUGAUGGGCGCAUUAAUAUAGAUGAUGGAAUUAUGAGAACGGCGCGCGCAGUAUAUUGAAGUGUGGUACACCAGUAUUAUCCAACCAGCAAAUAUGUAUGAUGUGAACCUAAUUACAAGAAGCACCUUAAUUCAAAUAAGACUUAACAGGAGUCAGUGAACCCAAAACAUUUUCGAAUUUGUUUAACCUUCAUUUCAGCCCAGUAGCUUUCCCCAGUGGCGUAGGUCAAUUAAAUACACUAUCGGAGAAAGACAAACUAGACUUCAUGCAUUACCUUAAUUCCUAAUG
Molecule: long non-coding RNA, 2015 nt
Organism: Trifolium pratense (red clover)
Lineage: Eukaryota; Viridiplantae; Streptophyta; Magnoliopsida; Fabales; Fabaceae
Exons: 3
Source: RefSeq, a predicted model, not a curated record